GAUGAACGCUGACAGAAUGCUUAACACAUGCAAGUCGAUGGGGAAGUGGUGCUUGCACCAUGGUAACCAUGGCGGACGGGUGAGUAACGCGUAAGGAACUUACCUGCGUGACCGGGAUAACAGCAGGAAACUGCUGACAAGACCGGAUAAGGUCAUUAAGCUGCAUAGCUUAGUGAUGAAAGGAGACGCCUGCGGAGAGCCUUGCGUCCUAUUAGCUAGUUGGAGGGGUAACGGCCCACCAAGGCGAAGAUAGGUAGCCGGCCUGAGAGGGUGGACGGCCACAAGGGGACUGAGAUACGGCCCUUACUCCUACGGGAGGCAGCAGUGGGGAAUAUUGGACAAUGGGGGCAACACUGAUGCAGCAAUUCUGUGUGCACGAAGACGGUUUUCGGAUUGUAAAGUGCUUUAAGCAGGGAAGAAGGAAGUGACGGUACCUGCAGAAGAAGCGACGGCUAAAUACGUG
RNAcentral lists this ribosomal RNA (463 nucleotides) under uncultured bacterium. RNAcentral describes it as "partial 16S ribosomal RNA". It matches the Rfam family "Bacterial small subunit ribosomal RNA", at positions 28 to 507 of the family's 1533-position model. The record is from RNAcentral.